RNAcentral lists this ribosomal RNA (581 nucleotides) under Enterococcus hirae. Its description in RNAcentral is "bacterial SSU rRNA". It matches the Rfam family "Bacterial small subunit ribosomal RNA", at positions 85 to 653 of the family's 1533-position model. The record is from RNAcentral. Lineage: Bacteria; Bacillati; Bacillota; Bacilli; Lactobacillales; Enterococcaceae.
AAAAAGAGGAGUGGCGAACGGGUGAGUAACACGUGGGUAACCUGCCCAUCAGAAGGGGAUAACACUUGGAAACAGGUGCUAAUACCGUAUAACAAUCGAAACCGCAUGGUUUUGAUUUGAAAGGCGCUUUCGGGUGUCGCUGAUGGAUGGACCCGCGGUGCAUUAGCUAGUUGGUGAGGUAACGGCUCACCAAGGCCACGAUGCAUAGCCGACCUGAGAGGGUGAUCGGCCACAUUGGGACUGAGACACGGCCCAAACUCCUACGGGAGGCAGCAGUAGGGAAUCUUCGGCAAUGGACGAAAGUCUGACCGAGCAACGCCGCGUGAGUGAAGAAGGUUUUCGGAUCGUAAAACUCUGUUGUUAGAGAAGAACAAGGAUGAGAGUAACUGUUCAUCCCUUGACGGUAUCUAACCAGAAAGCCACGGCUAACUACGUGCCAGCAGCCGCGGUAAUACGUAGGUGGCAAGCGUUGUCCGGAUUUAUUGGGCGUAAAGCGAGCGCAGGCGGUUUCUUAAGUCUGAUGUGAAAGCCCCCGGCUCACCGGGGAGGGUCAUUGGAAACUGGGAGACUUGAGUGCAGAA